RNAcentral lists this ribosomal RNA (441 nucleotides) under uncultured bacterium. Its description in RNAcentral is "partial 16S ribosomal RNA". It matches the Rfam family "Bacterial small subunit ribosomal RNA", at positions 338 to 795 of the family's 1533-position model. The record is from RNAcentral.
CCUACGGGAGGCAGCAGUGGGGAAUAUUGCACAAUGGGGGGAACCCUGAUGCAGCGACGCCGCGUGGGGGAAGGAGUAUUUCGGUAUGUAAAGCCCUAUCAGCAGGGAAGAACAAUGACGGUACCUGACUAAGAAGCACCGGCUAAAUACGUGCCAGCAGCCGCGGUAAUACGUAUGGUGCAAGCGUUAUCCGGAUUUACUGGGUGUAAAGGGAGCGCAGGCGGCGCGUUAAGCCUGGUGGGAAAGUCCGCGGCCCAACCGCGGGACUGCAUUGGGAACUGGCGCGCUGGAGUGCCGGAGGGGUAGGCGGAAUUCCUAGUGUAGCGGUGAAAUGCGUAGAUAUUAGGAGGAACACCAGUGGCGAAGGCGGCCUACUGGACGGUGACUGACGCUGAGGCUCGAAAGCGUGGGGAGCAAACAGGAUUAGAUACCCCUGUAGUC